Molecule: non-coding RNA, 640 nt
Organism: Ceratotherium simum simum (southern white rhinoceros)
Lineage: Eukaryota; Metazoa; Chordata; Mammalia; Perissodactyla; Rhinocerotidae
Source: RefSeq, a predicted model, not a curated record
AAACUAAGAAAAGGGACCACAGAUCCAAUUAAGCUCUUUUCUGUCAUAAAUACCACCUGGUAAUGCAAGGCAGUUGAAGGGUAUGGGAUCUUAGACUAACAGAAGGGACUGUAUCUGCAGUUAAACACAUUAAAAGUCCCAGGUACCCUCUGCUGUAUGCUAAGGGAGUUAGAGGGCAUAGGAUCCCAGACAAACAGAAGGCACUGUAGCAGCAACUGUCCCAUAACAUUAACAGUCCCACAUACCCCAUGUGUAAUGCAAAGGGAGUUGGAAGGCAGGGGAUCCUAGACUAACAAAAGGGACUGUGGCUGCAAUUAAGCCCAUGAACAGUCCCAAGUACCCACUGUGUAAUGCAAAGAGAGUUGGAUGCCAUGGGACCCUAGAAACAAAGGAACUGUAGCUGCAAUUGAGCACUUUAACAGUCCCAAGAACCACCUGUGUAAUGCAAAGGGCAUUGGAGGGCAUGGGAUCCCAGACAAACAGAAGGGACCACAGCUGUCAUUAAGCACAUUAAGAGUCCCAGGUACCCUCCGCUUAUGCAAAGGGAGUUGCAAGGCAUGGGAUCCUAAACUAACAGAAGGAACUGUGGCUGCUAUUAAGCCCAUUAACAGUCCCAAAUAACCUAUGUGGAAUGCAAGAG